This 439-nucleotide ribosomal RNA is filed under the name uncultured bacterium. Its description in RNAcentral is "bacterial SSU rRNA". It matches the Rfam family "Bacterial small subunit ribosomal RNA", at positions 337 to 793 of the family's 1533-position model. The record is from RNAcentral.
UCCUACGGGAGGCAGCAGUGGGGAAUAUUGGACAAUGGGCGAAAGCCUGAUCCAGCAAUGCCGCGUGAGUGAUGAAGGCCUUAGGGUCGUAAAGCUCUUUUACCAGGGAUGAUAAUGACAGUACCUGGAGAAUAAGCUCCGGCUAACUCCGUGCCAGCAGCCGCGGUAAUACGGAGGGAGCUAGCGUUGUUCGGAAUUACUGGGCGUAAAGCGUGCGUAGGCGGUUAUUCAAGUCAGAGGUGAAAGCCCGGGGCUCAACCCCGGAACUGCCUUUGAAACUAGAUAACUAGAAUCUUGGAGAGGUCAGUGGAAUUCCGAGUGUAGAGGUGAAAUUCGUAGAUAUUCGGAAGAACACCAGUGGCGAAGGCGACUGACUGGACAAGUAUUGACGCUGAGGUACGAAAGCGUGGGGAGCAAACAGGAUUAGAUACCCUGGUAG